CUUUUUGUACACAACUUCUACUUAAAAAAAUCAGUGGGUGUGACUUAUAGACAAGGCUAAGAAAUCAUGUUAAUGUACCAAUGUUUGUACCAACCUUUCAAUGCAAAAUAUGGGGCGAGACUUAUAA
Molecule: long non-coding RNA, 127 nt
Organism: Priapulus caudatus
Lineage: Eukaryota; Metazoa; Priapulida; Priapulimorpha; Priapulimorphida; Priapulidae
Exons: 3
Source: RefSeq, a predicted model, not a curated record